AUGAAUUUUAUUGGGGUGGGGAGUGCCCCGGAGGCUGCACUGCGGGGAGAUCACCGAAGGCACCUUGGGGCAUUGGAGGCUCUGGCCUGGGAGACUGAGGACUCCCCUUGGGUCGAGGAGGGGAGAUGCAGCUGGAGAGAGGACACCUGGACACCUGCCCAAUCCAGUGACGUCAGCCUCAUCCGCUGUCAGAAGGGUGCGGGGCCUCGGGGGCGGAGUCUCUCCCGCCUCUGCCCUCGGUCUAGUCUGGCCACCUUCCCAGUCUGGUGGGUGCAGAUGUGCAGAAGCCUGGGUCGGGAGGCACCAAGGGCGGAUGGCGCCGCCAGACACAGACCGGCGUUAAGGCCGCGUCGCCCUUGGCCUCUGGCUGGAGAGUCUCCUACGGCCUAAUGCGAGUGGUAGAGGAGCUGCUAGAGGGGCUCCGGGCCAUGGCCGGGAACAGAGAGACCUCCCUAUGUGAGCCCCCUGAGACCCUGACCGCGGGCCCUGCCGCUCCUCCCAGCACCCCUACGACAUUAGCCAUGGGGAGCCGAGAUUAGCCGAUGGAUUCUUAAACACUAAAGGGACUCCUGAGCAUAAAGUGGGCACUGGUGACACUGCUUCCACGGGACGGUUAGUUUCUAGUGAAAACAACUUCUCCACCGCGCAUGAUAGCUCAUGUCUGUAAUCCUGACAUUUCCGGAGGCCAAGGUAGGGAGAAUUGCUUGAGCCCAGGAAUUCAAGACCAGCCUGGGCAAUAUAGUGAGACCCCAUCUCACUCUCUCUAUUUUUUUUUUGGUGGUUGUUUUUUUGUUUUGUUUUGUUUUUUAGACGGAGCCUCGCUCUGUCGCCCAGGCUGGAAUGCAGUGGCGCGAUCUUGGCUCAUUGCAACCUCCACCUCCCGGGUUCAAGCGAUUCUCGUGCCUCCACCUCCCGAGUAGCUGAGAUUACAGGUGUGUGCCACCAUGCCCAGCUAAUGUUUUUGUAUUUUUAGUAGAGAGACGGGGUUUCACCAUGUUGGCCAGGCUGGUGUCAAACUCCUGACCUUAAAUAAUCCACCUGUUUUGGCCUCCCAAAGUGCUGGGGUUACAGGCGUGAGCCACUGCGCCCAGCCA
Molecule: long non-coding RNA, 1094 nt
Filed under: Macaca mulatta (Rhesus monkey)
Lineage: Eukaryota; Metazoa; Chordata; Mammalia; Primates; Cercopithecidae
Description: lncRNA (ENSMMUG00000054611.1)
Source: RNAcentral